CACCGAGGGAGGGCGAGCGGGGCCGGCGGGGCGCGAUGGCGGAGGGCGGGGACCCGCCCGCCCCGGGCAGCGCAGGUCGCAACCUGAAGGAGUGGCUGCGGGAGCAGUUCUGCGACCACCCGCUGGAGCGCUGCGAGGACACCCGGCUGCACGACGCGGCCUUCGUGGGGGACCUGCCCACGCUGCGCAGCCUGCUGCAGGACGAGAGCUUCCAGAGCCGGAUCAACGAGAAGUCGGUGUGGUGCUGCGGGUGGCUGCCCUGCACGCCGCUGCGCAUCGCGGCCACCGCCGGCCACGGCCCCUGCGUCGACUUCCUGCUGCGCAAGGGGGCCGAGAUCGACCUGGUGGACGUCAAGGGGCAGACAGCCCUCUACGUGGCCGUGGUCAACGGGCACCUGGAGUGUGCCAAGAUCCUGCUGAAGGCCGGCGCUGACCCCAACGGCAGCCGGCACCACCGCAGCACCCCGGUGUACCACGCGGCGCGGGUGGGGCGUGCCGACAUCCUGCGGGAGCUCAUCAGGUACGGCGCGGACGUGGACGUGAACCACCAGCUGGCUUCCCGCGGGCCAGGGCAGGCGCUGCGGCCGCUGACCACGCUGGUGGUGUGUCCCCUGUACAUCAGCGCUGCCUACCACAACCUGCCCUGCUUCCGCCUGCUGCUCCAGGCGGGAGCCAACCCGGAUUUUAACUGCUGCGGGCCCAUCAACGUGCAGGGCUUCUCGCGGGGCUCGCCCGUGUGCGUGCUGGACGCCGUCCUGCGGCACGGCUGCGAGCCGGCCUUCGUCCGCCUCCUCGUUGACUUUGGAGCAGAUCUCAACCUCGUCAAGGUGGAGGCCUUGGGAGUUGAGGCCACGGGGAGGGUCAAGGUGAACGCCGAGGCGCUGGAGGUGUUCAAAGAAGCGAGGGGUGAGUGGGUUUGGGUCCCUGGAGCGGCGCUGCAGGUGCAGGAGAGCGCUUUGGAGGGGUUGCUUGGAAGUGAAGGUGCUGCUGAGGUGGUGGGGUGGAUGUUGGUGUCCUCACUUCAAGGAUCUUCAGCAAUUAGAUAACGGGGUCUAACAAGCUGACAAAGCAUUAAUGACUUUUCCGCUCCCUGCCUUUCCCCUGUUGCAUUUUGUACCUUCACAUGGUGUUUCCCCCUCUUGAGUCCUUCAGCAGCACCACCCCUGUCUGUUACUCCGCCUUUUUCGUCUCUCCCAGCUCUUUUCCAUUGCCUACUCAUGUAGGCAAGGUGUAGGGGUCCCAUCCGAGCUGGGCUUUGGAGCUGUGGAUCACCAGUGGCAUCCAGCUCUCCAGAGCCACACAGGUGUGUCCCAGCUUCCUGUGUGACCCUGGGCUCUGGAUCCAGGAGGGAGUUUAAUCUGGACAGACUGGUUGGGAAGGAAAGCCACAAACGGUGGUAAGAAGGGGUAAGAAGGGGCAGGAGCAAGCUCGGAUGGAGGUGAAAAAAGGUGAGGGAAAGUGCAGCACCUCAGAAGCCCACCUGGUGAAGGCCACAGCUUUGCACCAGGGAUGGAAGUAAAGUUUCCCUCUUGAACUCCAGAGAAAUUUCAAAGGGAUGCAGGCUGUGAGAUACAAUUCACAUCCCCAGGUUACCCAGCUUUGCAUGGGCCUGGUUUUCAAACCUGCCUGGGAUUCUGAGGAGAGAAGCUCACAGAAGCUGGAGUUCCAUUAGGCCUGGGUUGAGGAGGCAAAUGGGACUCCUCAGGUGGAGCAUAUGGGUUAAUGGAGUGAUUCAGUUCCUGAAUCAACAUGGGCACCACCAUCCUCUUCUCCCUGUGCUGGAAGAGCUCUCCAUGGACUCAGAGGAAGCCCUCAAAAGAAAGCUGGGAUAAGGCCUGAGCUGGCUGCCGCACCCGGAGCCUCUUGUCUCUGUGCCGCAUAGCUGUACGGAGAAUCCUU
This is an RNA transcript of Vidua macroura (Pin-tailed whydah), 1899 nucleotides long. It is a transcript of the gene named ankyrin repeat and SOCS box containing 1, with no coding region annotated. The record is from RefSeq and is a predicted model, not a curated record. NCBI's taxonomy places the organism in Eukaryota, Metazoa, Chordata, Aves, Passeriformes, Viduidae. The transcript is spliced from 5 exons.